UGGGGAAUAUUGGGCAAUGGGCGAAAGCCUUACCCAGCAACGCCGCGUGAGGGAAGAAGGUUUUCGGAUUGUAAACCUCUGUCCUGGGGGACGAAGGAAGUGAGCGCUAGCCCGGGAGGAACGCCCGGCUAACUACGUGCCAGCAGCCGCGGUAAUACGUAGGGGGCGAGCGUUGUCCGGAAUUAUUGGGCGUAAAGGGCGCGUAGACGGCCGAGUAAGUUAUAGGUGAAAGCCCAUCUUUCAAGGAUGGAAUUGCCUGUAAUACUGCCUGGCUUGAGUGCAGGAGAGGGAAGCGGAAUUCCUAGUGUAGCGGUGAAAUGCGUAGAUAUUAGGAGGAACACCAGUGGCGAAGGCGGCUUUCUGGACUGUAACUGACGUUGAGGCGCGAAAGCGUGGGGAGCAAACAGGAUUAGAUACC
RNAcentral lists this ribosomal RNA (418 nucleotides) under uncultured bacterium. RNAcentral's name for it is "bacterial SSU rRNA". It matches the Rfam family "Bacterial small subunit ribosomal RNA", at positions 355 to 786 of the family's 1533-position model. The record is from RNAcentral.